This 41-nucleotide non-coding RNA is filed under the name unclassified sequences. The record is from RNAcentral.
CGCGGGGAACGCCGAAAACCGCACCAUCAACAGAGUAGGCA